RNAcentral lists this long non-coding RNA (3066 nucleotides) under Mus musculus (house mouse). Its description in RNAcentral is "long non-coding RNA chr2:135116132-135119198". Lineage: Eukaryota; Metazoa; Chordata; Mammalia; Rodentia; Muridae. The record is from RNAcentral.
GCUAGGUUUGUUGUUUUAUUUGGGUUUUGUUGGGGGAUUUUGUUGGUUUUCUGUGCCGACUUAUUCUCUAAAAUAGGGACCAAGAGCUGAGUAACAGCUUACAUAUCUUUUCCUGGAAGCACUUUGUUAAGGUAAAACCUGCCUCCUGUAGUAUACAAGGGUAAGUGUAUCUUCCAAAAAUAAAAAAAAAAAAAAAAAAAAAAAAAAAGAACUCAGGCGAAUAUACAAAACUACUUAACGGUCAUCAAGAUGUGGAAUGUCAUGCUAGCCUCCUCUUUCCAUGAUCCAGCCAGGUACUUCACCCACAAAGGCAAUUACUACACAAUUCCUAUGACCUAAAUCACGUAUGCAUCUUCUUGUGCUUCCUCGCCAUUGAAUCAUACUGCAAGUAACCCUCUGGGUCAGGAUUCUCUCAUCAGAAGUCUGUGCACUAAGUAUAGCCUGAGGUUUCUGCAAAUAUUGCAUGUAUGUACGAUUUCAUGUGCCUAAACAUUGAUAAAAUAAAAGCAGCACUCACUAACAGGAACGUUUGUAAUGGCAACAAGGUGUAAUGUCACCAGGAGGGGACCGUGUUAAAUCAGCUGUACAGAAAAUUCAGAAAACUAUCCUAGGACAAAUUAAAAAUAGAAGUAACAUUGCAAAGCACGGGAAGAUGUGUAUAACCUUCUUAUAAAUAUGCCCAUCUUAAGCACUUUUCAAGUACGGAAAGAAAAGCCUAAUUAUAAAUUAUUCUUAUCCAUUUAUUAAGGCUGCUCCCUGAAGGGCUAAUUCUAGGUGAUGCCUCAUUAACCUUGUAUCAGCUACUUGUUCUUUAAUUUUUUAAAAAAAAUGAUUUUCCCAUAAUUUUCAUUAAUUCAGUCAGGCCCUACUCAUUUGUACAAAUUAGUAAGGUGAAAGGGAGAGUGAGAAAGAGAGAGAGAGAGAGAGAGAGAGAGAGUUAGUUCUGUGGGUUGAGGGUUCUAGGCAUUUCCCCUUACAUUCGCUAGCUCUGUUCUUUGCAUGAAUUGCCAUCUAUGGAGCCCCCAGCACCCAGUGGAUUUCUAGUUCAAACGCAUUGGUAUUUAAGCAUGAGCUACACUGUGAAAGGUCACCUCUAAUUCUAUUACUGUAUUAGUGAGCACAGAUACCGAACCAAAUGUUACGUAGUUUUAUAGAACAGUUUGUAUGAGCCCAUUGCAUGUGUGAUAUGUUACAUUUCGCUACAUUUUACAAGCUAGCAAUCAUAAGGGGCACUUUUUUAUUAUGAAACUAAUAGUAAUUUGGGAAAAAAAUCCUUCUGUCCAUCUUAGGAUAUAGCAUCCUAGCUUUUGAGAUGGUAAAGUCUGGAAAAGUGUACCCAUGUGAAGGAAAUACAGAAAUUGUAGGUACCAGCAAUGUAGUAAAGAACAGAUCACUGUAAAGGAAGAUACAAGGAUUCAAAUAAUUGAGAUAGUCACUCAAAGUUGUUUGCAUAACUAGGGGUGGUGUGGGAAUGCCUAAAGGCUCAACGGUUUUGUACAAGUACUAACAAAUGAACACAAAGUCCUUAAGGAGAAGCUGAUGCCCUGCAGAAACCAGAGUUGGGGAAUAUGGCUUACCUCAUCUUUUUUUCUUACCACAGCUCCUCUUUCUUGUAGCAGAUGAGGUGUCCCUGCCUAGCCCCACCAACUUCUGUGGAAGCAGACAUGGUGCUGACACGGUGGUCUUGGCUUCUGGAGAUUGUAUCACUUUCUCCUGUUACGGAUGGAGUCCCGCACUCCGGCCACCAGCUAGCAAUUUACCCGCACUCCCGUUUACCAGUUAGAAGUCUGUGCACGGGUAGUGUGUAAACCUAUCUCUAUUCCUUCAUCCUGAUUAGGAGAGUCCAGAGGAGUUUUCCAGGUCAAGGUGAGGACAUGAGACAACUAAGUCUGCAUCUCAUUUACCUUAGAGUGUUCUGGAUUUUUUUCCUGGAAACCGCCUUAAUUGGUAAUUCUAAGAAUCACCAUCUCAAGCCUGUUUUUUGAGGGGGCUGCAUUUAAGAUACUCAUUUCAUCAAUUUUUCUAUUCUUGUUUUACUGGUAAACACCAGGCGCUCUCUCCAGGAACUCACCUACCUGGGAGGACAGAUGCCUCAACAUGGACUACAGAUUCCAAAGUCUGUUCACAGUUUCUACUUCUGUGUCCAACUUUUCUUCCUCCAGUAAACACACAUGGUCAAAGCAGAAUGCAAUGUCCUUUCCUCAGGAUCCACAAGAGUCAGAUUAAAGAAAAUGGUUUUGUUGAAAUAAACAGCUCCUUGCACGGCUCAGUGACUGAAAACAAAACAUCAGAAAUCAAAAGGUGCACCUUCAAGAUAAUUUCUGUUAAUAUUUGUUUAUGCAGUAUGCAGGGUUCUGCAUGAAUAUAUGCCUACAUGCCAGAAGAGGGCACCAGAUUUCAUUAUCGAUGGUUUAUGGGCCACCAUGUGGUUGCUGGGAAUUGAACUAAGGACCGCCAGUGCUCUUAACCUCUGAACCAUCUCUCCAGCCCAGCUUCAAAACUCUGGACUAUGAUAAAUAAUCAGAAAGGCAUUGUUAUAAAUGUGUUCUAAGCCACACACACACACAAACAGAAAGUCUUUACUUGUAUGUGAUGUCAAACAUAGGAAGAACCAUCUUUAUUCAAGGCUUAUUUUCUGAGCCUGACAUAGAGUGCGGAUGCUUCUUCAGUGAUGAAUCAAAUCCUGGUCCUUCAUGCUGGUAUUUAAAUCAAUGUGCAGGCGACAUGUGUAGUCAAGUGCAGUGCUAGUCACAGAGCAUGGGCGUUGUUGUCAAUGGAACAGACAGCUGAAAGACAAUGUCACCUUAUACUCUUACUGCCUUUUACCAGAAAAGUAGAGCAGGCAGCUAAGGAUGAAAUUCCGAGAGCUUUGCAAGGCUAGGGUGGUCUUGGGGGCAAAAGAGGAUGUUUGGUUAUCACUUGUGCCGAAGUAUCUGCCACGGUGUCUUCCAUUCAGUGUUUGUAAGAUAUCUACUUUGUACCAAAGCACUAAUCUAGACAGUAGUGAUGUGAGAAAAAAGUACAUACUGUAGUGAGAAAUCAGAAGGAAAAACAAACUCCUGGAGC